Molecule: small RNA, 42 nt
Filed under: Arabidopsis thaliana (thale cress)
Lineage: Eukaryota; Viridiplantae; Streptophyta; Magnoliopsida; Brassicales; Brassicaceae
Description: ATSL065340
Source: RNAcentral
UAAAAUCACGGUAUCCUCGUUGUCCUUGCCGCUCAAUACUUG